UGGGGAAUCUUGCGCAAUGGCCGAAAGGCUGACGCAGCGACGCCGCGUGUGGGAGGACGCCUUUCGGGGUGUAAACCACUGUUGCCCGGGACGAACUCCUCGCAUUGGCGGGGGUGACGGUACCGGGUGAGGAAGCACCGGCUAACUCCGUGCCAGCAGCCGCGGUAAUACGGAGGGUGCGAGCGUUGUCCGGAAUCAUUGGGCGUAAAGGGCGCGUAGGUGGCCGGGUCAGUUCGUGGUGAAAGCGCGGAGCUCAACUCCGCGUCGGCCAUGAAUACUGCUGGGCUGGAGCACUGUAGAGGCAGGCGGAAUUCCGGGUGUAGCGGUGGAAUGCGUAGAGAUCCGGAAGAACACCGGUGGCGAAGGCGGCCUGCUGGGCAGUAGCUGACACUGAGGCGCGACAGCGUGGGGAGCAAACAGGAUUAGAUACCCGCGUAGUCC
Molecule: ribosomal RNA, 441 nt
Filed under: uncultured bacterium
Lineage: Bacteria
Description: bacterial SSU rRNA
Rfam family: Bacterial small subunit ribosomal RNA
Source: RNAcentral